UGUGUACGAUUUCUCCGGGCGCGGUAGC
RNAcentral lists this small RNA (28 nucleotides) under Bombyx mori (domestic silkworm). RNAcentral's name for it is "ovarian small RNA-35942". The record is from RNAcentral. Lineage: Eukaryota; Metazoa; Arthropoda; Insecta; Lepidoptera; Bombycidae.